RNAcentral lists this ribosomal RNA (392 nucleotides) under uncultured bacterium. RNAcentral describes it as "partial 16S ribosomal RNA". It matches the Rfam family "Bacterial small subunit ribosomal RNA", at positions 523 to 918 of the family's 1533-position model. The record is from RNAcentral.
AUACGGAGGGGACGAGCGUUGUCCGGAAUUACUGGGCGUAAAGGGCGCGCAGGCGGAUAUUUAAGUCAGCUGUAAAAGGCAUGAGCUCAACUCAUGUAUGCGGUUGAAACUGGGUAUCUAGAGUGCUGGAGAGGUAGGCGGAAUUCCCGGUGUAGCGGUUAAAUGCAUAGAUAUGAAGAAGAACACCGAUUGCGUAGGCAGCUGACCAGACCGCAAAUGACGAUCAUGCACGAAAGUGCGGGGAUCGAACAGGAUUAGAUACCCUGGUAGUACGCACAGUGAACGAUGAAUACUUGUUUUCGGCGAUAUAAUGUCGGAGGCAAAGCGAAAGCGAUAAGUAUUCCACCUGGGGAGUACGCCGGCAACGGUGAUACUCAAAUGAAUUGGCGGGG